Molecule: RNA transcript, 4091 nt
Organism: Gavialis gangeticus (Gharial)
Lineage: Eukaryota; Metazoa; Chordata; Crocodylia; Gavialidae
Gene: CLVS2
Gene name: clavesin 2
Exons: 6
Source: RefSeq, a predicted model, not a curated record
GCUUCCCUGCAAACUGGCUGCCGAGGAGCUACUUGAUUCCUUAUUAUUGCUCCUGAUCCCCAGGCUCCCUCCCGCCCCGCGCUACCCCAGGGAUUUGUGGUGGAGGGGCUAUUUGGGGCAGCAUGGAUGUGGCAGCGCUAUGAGAAUCCUCCUGGACUUCUCUGUCCUAGGGGGCUGCAGCAGCUGGCUGUGGGUGGAGGAGAGGUGAGGCCCCUCCCUAAGGAAAUUGGUGGGGGUAGGGGUGUGCUUCCAAGCAGGGGGUGCUGUAGUAGGGGGCAGCCUGUGAGGGGCAGGAGGCUGCGUGGUUCAGGGUGAGGGCAGGAGGUUGCUGGACAGUGGGAUUUCCUGGAAGGGGCUCCAUCCCCUGAACAGGAGGCUUCCUGGGGCAGCCUCAAAGGCAGAGGAGAACAGGCAGCAGCCGGCUGCCCACAGCAGCAGCAGCGGAGGAGGAGGAGGAGGAGGAGGGAGCAGCACCAUGACUCAUUUGCAGGCAGGUCUGUCCCCAGAGACGCUGGAGAAAGCCCGGCUGGAACUGAAUGAGAACCCAGACACACUGCACCAGGACAUCCAGGAGGUGCGGGACAUGGUGAUCACGAGGCCGGACAUUGGCUUCCUCCGCACAGACGAUGCCUUCAUCCUGCGGUUCCUGCGGGCCAGGAAGUUCCAGCACUUUGAGGCGUUCCGCCUGCUGGCCCAGUACUUUGAGUACCGCCAGCAGAACCUGGACAUGUUCAAGAGCUUCAAGGCCACCGACCCAGGCAUCAAGCAGGCGCUCAAGGAUGGCUUCCCUGGUGGGCUUGCCAAUCUCGACCACUAUGGCAGGAAGAUCCUGGUCCUUUUUGCUGCCAACUGGGACCAGAGCAGGUACACGUUAGUGGAUAUUUUGCGUGCCAUCCUUCUUUCUUUGGAAGCCAUGAUUGAAGACCCCGAGCUUCAAGUGAAUGGAUUUGUUUUGAUUAUAGACUGGAGCAACUUCACUUUCAAGCAGGCCUCCAAACUUACACCAAGCAUGCUGAGAUUAGCUAUAGAGGGUCUUCAGGACAGCUUUCCAGCUCGGUUUGGAGGAAUUCAUUUCGUCAAUCAGCCAUGGUAUAUCCAUGCCCUCUACACGGUUAUACGACCCUUUCUAAAGGAGAAAACACGAAAAAGGAUAUUUCUUCAUGGAAAUAACCUCAACAGUCUGCAUCAACUGAUUCAUCCUGAGAUUCUACCUUCUGAGUUUGGAGGAAUGUUGCCACCAUAUGACAUGGGAACAUGGGCCAGAACACUGCUAGACCACGAAUAUGAUGAUGACAGUGAAUUCAAUGCAGAUUCCUACAACACUUCCUCGAAAGACACAGAAAAGGACCUCUCUCCCAAAUCCAUGAAGAGGUCUCAGUCAGUUGUGGAUCCUGGGGUUCUAAAACGUAUGGAUAAAAAUGAGGAAGAAAACAUGCAGCCUUUGCUUUCACUUGACUAACAGCUCCUGAGCAUCAAUUGUGAACUGAGGUGGAAGGUACUGCCUUUCAGCAACAAGCAGAAUUUUGGAAUGGAAUGUACCAGCUAGAAAUCUAUUUAUUCAUGUUAAUGUAGCAUAAUGUUAUCAGGCAGCAGAUUUUGCUGGUCUGCCUGAAAUAUGGGUGCCCUGGAAUGAAAAGGAAAACAAAAAUCAAUAAUUUAUUCUGUAAGUGCCAACUUGUUUGUAAAUACAAUGUAAUCCUCUGCUUUGAAUUUGUAAAUCAUUGUAAGCAAGCAGAAUGGAAAAGUGACUAUUAAAAUGUCUCAGUGAAUGCACUAAAAAAGGUGAAAAUUGCAUACACAGAAAGAGGAAGCAGAAACAUCAAGGCUACUAAUUUUUGUCCUUUUUCAAGGAAGCCAUAUUGCAGCUGCCCUAACAACUGCUUUUUUCCCCCUCAAUGACGGUUGUAUAGUGUUCAGAGGUAAAGCGGGAACAUAACAACUUGGAAGGAUCGGUGUAAGCAGUAGAGUUUCCUAACGGUAGGAAUUGAUUUCACAAAUAACUUUGUGGCUUGGACCGUGACUUGGCAUAAGUAAUGGAGCAUUGAGAAAAGAGGUGACAGACAAGCAGGAAACCACAUUCUUCUACUGUUUGGCUGGAAGAUUUUGUGAGGUUGCUUUACCUUUACUUUUUCAAGCAAGGUUUGGGUUUGAAAGCUGCUUGACUCAUUAUCCUAAGCUGGGGUUUACAGUGCGUGCCAUAGCAAAAUCACUUCUAUUGCAUAUGGAGUGUACUUCAAGAAUUUUUCCUGAACUCUCUGCUCCCUUGAAAUGAGAACGUAUUUAUCCAAAAACAAUGUAAUAACCAGUAUUUUGAAUAUAAAGAGAAGCAUCAGCAGGUUAAGGGUUAAUUUCUCAUUCCUGUGCACUGGGUGACUGAAUACAUAUAUAUAUUUUUACCAAACUCUUACAAACAUAUGAAGUGACAUUGUUAGAUGAGUAUAUUUAAUCAAGGGUUUAUAAAAACAAAAGCAUACCUAUUCAAUGUACUUAGAUAUAUUAUAGAUUGUAUAUUGAGGCAAUGUCAUCAUUAAUGUAGUAAAACUUUCUGUAUAGCGUCCCACUUCAGACAAGGAUUAAUAUGAAUAAGUUGUGGUCAGAAAUUGCCGCCUAUGUGUUUAAGCCACCUUUGUUUUGGUUGUGGUGUGUAUAUAUAGAACAUGUGCCAUAAUGGAGAAAUACAUUUUACCUCAAAAAAACAACAGGUCUUGAUACAGACUGGACAAAAUCAUCUGGAAUUUGGGGGCUAUAUUUUCACCUAUGGUGUAUACUUGUGUAUGUGCAGUUCAUUGUGCGUAAAGACAGGAGUUUGCCAGUGAAACUGCCAGACAUCUUCUGUCAGUAUUUGACACUGCUAUCAAACCAGAAUAGGAAGACACAGGAUAUUCAAGACAAUAGUAAUGAAGAGUAGAGAUGUAGUAGGAACAUACCAGAGUCUGUCAGGAAACAAAUAGUGAAAGUAGGCUAUAUUUGAAUGUGUAUAUAACCAAGACCUUAUCCUUUAUGAAGAAGAAAGCUACCAGCAUUUUUUCCAGGAGAGUCUCAUUACUGAGAAACUGGGAUUUGGUACAUUUUGGUUGAAAUUGAUGCCUACCUGGAGCUGUUUCAUGCAGCAUGAGCAAACAUUUCUCUGAUUUGAAUAAGAACCUGAAAAUAGAGAAGAGAAAUAAACAACUUUAUUUUAUUUUGUCUGUAUUCUUUCACAAACCUUUCUGUUACCUAGUUAGGAUGUAUGGAAAAGUACCUGUCAGCUUCUUUUUUUUUUUUAAUCAAAGUCAUGCUUUAGCAAGCAGAAAUCGGUCAGAUCUUGUUCAUAGAUAGGCUUAUUGUGUAAGACCUGAUUUUUGGACUGAUAAUGGUUCUUUAUCUUCAUUAUUAUAGAAUACAGAGGUUUAGGUUUUGGUAUAUAUCUGGGGUAUUAAAGGCAGGGUGCAUCUUUAAGUGUGGGUAGGAAAAUCCUGUGUUCCUAGCUUUUUGUUUUUAGGACCCUUUAGGUUUUAGGUCCCAUAUUACACUGAAAUCUGGUUAAUUAGUCACUGGGUAACUUGUUAUUUUUGUCUUAUUAAAUGGCACACUACUCCCUGCCAGAGGUCCGUUGAUUUAUGCAGAAAAUACUUUGACUAAAUCAUCAUCUGUGAAAGCAUAAUUAGUAAUUUCCAAAGGUACAUCACAAUGUACAUCAAAUCGCAAUGAAAAUCUGCUCCUGAUAAUUAGGCAGCUUAAAAGGUACUGACCUAUGCCCUCCAUAGCAUAUGUCAAGCCUAGUGAUGCUUACAAAGCAUUGGAUUCUCUUCGACAUUUCUUGCUUCGACAACAUGUAGACAAUCAACAGUUCCAUUUUGGCGAACUAUCUUCUCCUUUGGUGAUGAGUGCAUGUAAGUGUGCAAAGCAAAAGCCUUCAAGUGAUUACUUUACUUCCUCAUAAUCAUGUAAUAAUUAUAUAAAUGACAUUCUGAAUUGCAGUAAGAAACAGUACAUUAAGCAUUUAUCUAAUAAUGCAGUUCUUGUAUAGUAAGCCAUAGUAUAUAUAAUUUGCACUUGGAAUGUUUGUAAUAUAGUUUCCCUUCAUUAUAAAUGUCUAAACCAUUCUUAAA